GUAGGACAAGGUAAGGUUAGGGAAUUAAGAGUGUGAUGAUUAAGGAAAUGGGAGGAAAGAUCUCAAAAUGGAUAGAAAGAGGGUGUUUAUAAUAUAAGUUGUUGAAGUGAUUUUCAAGAUGAUCAGAGAGUUGAGUUGAUUGAAAAAUUCAAGUUGCAGAUUAAGUUGAAGUCAGUUUUCAUCAGGUAUGGUUUGUGGUG
Molecule: long non-coding RNA, 200 nt
Filed under: Vigna radiata
Lineage: Eukaryota; Viridiplantae; Streptophyta; Magnoliopsida; Fabales; Fabaceae
Description: long non-coding RNA (VRAD_LNC009251)
Source: RNAcentral